AGAAUUAUUGCUGCGGUUAAAAAGCUCGUAGUUGGAUCUGUGCUAGCCGUCCGGUGCACACUUUGUGUGUUACUGGUUUGGUUGGCUUUUCUGCCGGUCUCUCCCCGGCGUUGGCCUUUACCGGUCGGCGUCGGUGGGCUGGCGAGUUUACUUUGAACAAAUCAGAGUGCUUCAAACAGGCGUUUCGCUUGAAUGUUCGUGCAUGGAAUAAUAGAAGAGGAUUUCGGUCCGAUUUUAUUGGUUUUGCUGACCGAGAUAAUGGUUAACAGAGACAAACGGGGCCAUUCGUAUUGCUACGUGAGAGGUGAAAUUCUUGGACCGUAGCAAGACGGACUACAGCGAAAGCAUUUGGCAAGAAUGUCUUCAUUAAUCAAGAACGAAAGUCAGAGGUUCGAAGGCGAUCAGAUACCGCCCUAGUUCUGACCGUAAACGAUGCCAACUAGCGAUCCGCCGGCGGAUUUAUUCGCCCUGGUGGGGAGCUUCCCGGAAACGAAAGUCUUCCGGUUCCGGGGGAAGUAUGGUUGCAAAGCUGAAACUUAAAGGAAUUGACGGAAGGGCACCACCAGGAGUGGAGCCUGCGGCUUAAUUUGACUCAACACGGGGAAACUCACCCGGCCCGGACACCGUAAGGAUUGACAGAUUGAUAGCUUUUUCAUGAUUCGGUGGAUGGUGGUGCAUGGCCGUUCUUAGUUCGUGGAGCGAUUUGUCUGGUUUAUUCCGAUAACGAGCGAGACUCUAGCCUACUAAAUAGUUGGCUCAUUGCUUCUGUGGGCACACUUCUUAGAGGGAUUUCGGUGUUCAGCCGCACGAAAUUGAGCAAUACAGGGUCUGUGAUGCCCUUAGAUGUCCGGGGCUGCACGCGCGCUACACUGGCAAAAUCAGCGUGCUUGUCCUUCCCCGAAAGGGGUUGGUAAACCGGUGAAAAUUUGCCGUGAUUGGGAUCGGACAUUGCAAUUAUUGUCCGUGAACGAGGAAUUCCUUGUAGGGGCGAGUCAUCAACUCGCUCUGAAUACGUCCCUGCCCUUUGUACACACCGCCCGUCGCUGCCCGGGACUGAGCCAUUUCGAGAAAUUCGGGGACGGUUAGUGUUCCGGCUUCGGUCGGUAUGCAGACUGGAACCGAUUUAAUCGCAGUGGCUUGAACCGGGCAAAAGUCGUAACAAGGUAGCUGUAGGUGAACCUGCUGCUG
This 1188-nucleotide ribosomal RNA is filed under the name Heterodera glycines (soybean cyst nematode). RNAcentral describes it as "SSU rRNA". It matches the Rfam family "Eukaryotic small subunit ribosomal RNA", at positions 603 to 1823 of the family's 1831-position model. The record is from RNAcentral. RNAcentral also lists the same sequence under 1 other name. Lineage: Eukaryota; Metazoa; Nematoda; Chromadorea; Rhabditida; Heteroderidae.